This 248-nucleotide unclassified non-coding RNA is filed under the name uncultured fungus. Its description in RNAcentral is "sequence contains ITS1". Lineage: Eukaryota; Fungi. The record is from RNAcentral.
GUAUAAAAUUCAAUUUAUUUUUCCUUCUAAACAUUUGGUGUAUGUGAAAAACAUGCAGAUACAAGAAAAGCCCCACAAAUAGUAACUUUGCAAAGCAGUCCCAAUCGUCCAAGAUGAACUUGGACAAAGAUCCACACAAGUGAUGCACAAAUAAUGGAGAAAUGAAGAAUAACAAGCGUGCACGAAAACCAGCAACAACUCAUUAUAAAACUUCAGUAAUGAUCCUUCCGCAGGUUCACCUACGGAAA